Molecule: long non-coding RNA, 3040 nt
Organism: Scylla paramamosain (green mud crab)
Lineage: Eukaryota; Metazoa; Arthropoda; Malacostraca; Decapoda; Portunidae
Exons: 5
Source: RefSeq, a predicted model, not a curated record
AAAGUUUUAGCUGAGAUGCAUUUUGAAGAAAAGGUGUAUAUUUUGUUUGGUACCAGUUAUGCAUAUAAGAUAUUGAAUAAAUAAAUAAUUAUUACUGAUCAUAAUUCGAAUUAAUAGAGGUAGACCCCCACCUGCGGGCUGGUGCUCGCUUUGUGUAUUAUAUGUAUAUUCAUGUAUAUUUUGUGCUAUAUGUAUAUAUUUAAAAAUGUACUAUAAUGCUCAAUAAAGCUUUAAUAAUAAUAAGUAGAGCUUUAAUAAUAAUAAGUGAUGCGAGCAGCAGCAUCCAUGUCACAACCAGCGUCACGCGCUUCAUGAGUCAUCCUAUGACGUGCGACACUACCAUCUGCGGGCUACUUUUGCCUGGUACUGUGCGAGAGGGUGGAGGGGAGCCUGAAUACAGAAGAGGUACUCACUGGUCUCAGGAUAAACUCCCCCACAGGCAUCCCAGAGUGUGGAGCUGAUGCCCUUCGGUCCACCCUAUGCUCCACCAGCUUCAGGAGUCAGUGUGGCAUAGAUAGAUGUGGAUGACUGUGGUGUCUUGUCUUGUGUGGAGUUACAAGAACCGUCACCCCAAACAAUGAGUGGUGGAGGGUGCGUUCUGCGUUGACAGCCAGCAUGAGCGGUGACAGGAGCCAUGGGUGCCUUGCCUCCUCGCACCACCACCACAAGCACCACCACUCCUGCCAUCACCUACAAGGGGGAGACUGUGAUGUGGAUGCAGGUGGAUAGGUUCGGAGGCCUCCAGAGAGCUGCCCAGAGUAAAGCUUGUGGUAUAGAGGGACAGCUGCUGAUUAUCAAGCUUAUGGAGUGACUGGAGGAAAGUGGGAGGAGCCUGGAAGGAGUGGUGGAGGUACAGUACUUGGAGAAAAUCCCUCCACCAUGAUGACUGGGUGUCUGCUGUACAGGCCACCAACCAAUGGUGAGAGAGGGAGAGAGACUGGCUAAUGGUGGAUGAGAGAGAGAGAGAGAGAGAGAGAGAGAGAGAGAGAGUCUUGAUAAAUAAUAUUGGGCACAGGCUUCACCACUGGGUCGACUGUGAGGGCUGCGUUCUUCUGCUAGGGAAGUAUUGGCUGGUUGGUGGCCGCGGCUGUUCACACACUCACUCUUGCUGUGGCUGGCAUGCUGUUCUGUCCUCUCUUGUUGCAGGAAUUGCUGUCUGAGGUGUGUGUGUGUGUAUGUGUGUGUGUGUGUGUGUGCGUAGAAGCCACCAUCAUCAACCACAGCAGGUGAUAAUGAUGUUUCCUGCUUUCAUCCUCAUUGGGGCUAGCCAGACCAACCUGGGGCUGUACUGGGGUGACGCUGUGUGCCUCAGGUGUAUCUGGAGGGCUGGGAUAGUGAGAAGGUAACAAUUAAAAAGGACUAGUGUACAUUUAAACCAUUACAAACACUAUAUGAUGCUGGUAUACACACACAAACACUGGUAUACACUUACAGAUAUAUAUAAACACUUGCUAUGCUUUGUAUACUCUUAGAAACACACAUAAACUCUUAAUAAGUCUAGUAUACACACAAACUUGUAUACAAACACUAGUAUAUAUUUAGAGACACAUCCAAACCUUUGCUAAGUCUGAUAUAAGCACAUAAACUCAUAAGAGAUGCUGGUAUAUGCUUGGAAAUCUAUACACACAUUAGGUAAGACUAGUAUACACAAAUCUAUACAUAUAUUAGGAAUUUAUUGAAUGAUUGAGAUGAUUAGUACUCUCUCUCUCUCUCUCUCUCUCUCUCUCUCUCUCUCUCUCUCUCUCUCUCUCUCUCUCUCUCUCUCUCUCUCUCUCUCUUUCUCUUUCUCUUUCUCUCAUAUCCUUUGUCUAUCUCAAAUUUUCUCUUUUAAUCUCUCCCUCUCUGUCUGUCUGUCUCUCUGUCUGUCUGUCUGUCUGUCUGUCCCACACUUCAAUACACCCUUCCUGUCUUCAUACACCUUAGUACACCCUUCCUGUCUGCCCCUAUAGCUUAAUACACCCUGUAUCACCCUUGCAUCUCAUUAAACUAUCCCUAUUUGUCCAUCUCAAUAAACCCUGUCUAAUUUCCCUGUCCGGCUGUUUGUCUCAUCUUAUUACACCCUGUCUCUCCCUGCUUCUUGUUGCACCCUUCCUUUCCCCUACUCCUCAAUACUCCCUUCCCACCCUGUGUCAUGUGUAUAUAUUUAAAUAUUUAUAUUCAUUUGUGGCAUUCUUCAUGUGUUUUUGGGGUGUUUUGAGUGUGUUUGGGUGUGUUUUGGGGUGUUUGGGUCAGUUUUGGGUGUGUUUUGGGGUGUUUUGGGGUGAUUUGGGUGUGUUUUGGGGUGUUUGGGUCAGUUUUGGGGUGUUUUGGGUGUGUUUUGGGGUGUUUUGGGUGUGUUUUGGGGUGUUUUGGUCAGUUUUGGGUGUGUUUCGGGGUGUUUUGGGGUGUUUUGGUCAGUUUUGGGUGUGUUUUGGGGUGUUUUGGGUGUGUUUUGGGGUGUUUUUGUCAGUUUUGGGUGUGUUUUGGGGUAUUUUUCUCAGUAUUGGAUGAGUAUGGGUGUGUUUUGGGGUGUUUUAAGUGUUUUUUGGGCUAUUUUAAAAGAGUUUGGGUGUGUUUUGGGUGGCUAGGGGUGUGCUGUGGGUGGAUAAGGCUGUUUCUGGGUGUUUAAGUGGGUGUAGAUGCGUUUUGGGGUGUUUUGGAUGUGUUUUGGGGUGUAGAGAGAUAGACGUGAUGUGUGCAGGGUGUCUCAGUCCCUGGAUGGGUGUAGGAGUGCGUGGUGGUGCUGUCUGGGUCUCGUGGUGUGGGAGUGCAUGUAAAGGAACAGAUAAUUUAGGGCAGUUUUUCAUAUUUAAUUAUUUUGUUUAUUAAUUUAUUUAUUAUUAUCAUUAUUUUUAUUGUUUUUAAAGGGGGGUUAAUUUUUACGUUCAUCUUUUGUGUUCGGGAGUUCCUGGUUAGUGCUAUUGACAAAAAAAAAAAAAUGGAGAUCGUUUUAUUUUUUAGUGUGGAAAUUGUUGCAGUUUGUCAGGUGUUGAUUGGUGUUGAGAGUCGCAGGUCCCGUCUCGCCCUCUGUCAUAAAAUAAACAAUAAAGGGUUGGUUUUC